UACGUAGGGUGCAAGCGUUGUCCGGAAUUAUUGGGCGUAAAGAGCUCGUAGGCGGCUUGUCGCGUCGGCUGUGAAAACCCGGGGCUCAACCCCGGGCCUGCAGUCGAUACGGGCAGGCUAGAGUCCGGUAGGGGAGACUGGAAUUCCUGGUGUAGCGGUGAAAUGCGCAGAUAUCAGGAGGAACACCGGUGGCGAAGGCGGGUCUCUGGGCCGGAACUGACGCUAAGGAGCGAAAGCGUGGGGAGCGAACAGG
This 253-nucleotide ribosomal RNA is filed under the name uncultured bacterium. RNAcentral describes it as "partial 16S ribosomal RNA". It matches the Rfam family "Bacterial small subunit ribosomal RNA", at positions 524 to 776 of the family's 1533-position model. The record is from RNAcentral.